Molecule: long non-coding RNA, 1848 nt
Organism: Gasterosteus aculeatus (three-spined stickleback)
Lineage: Eukaryota; Metazoa; Chordata; Actinopteri; Perciformes; Gasterosteidae
Source: Ensembl
AUGGCGAGCUGGUGGACCGCCGAGGAGGUGCUGGACCAUCUGGACCUGGAGGAGGACUCCGUCGUGGCUCGGCUCAUUCAGGCCGUCGGGCUGUUCGGGGACAUCCUGUCCGUGGAGGACGCCAUGUCGGGGGAGGAGGAGGAGUGCAAAGAGGUGGAAGGAGCAGAAGAAGAACGCCAGGAACCGACGAUGGAGGGAGGCGAAGAAGAAAAGGUGGGAAACCAAGAGGAAGAGGAGAAAGAUGAUGAAGAUGUUGAAACGGAAAAGCUGGUAGAAUUGAGAGAAGAGGAGGAAGAAAGGGUAAGAAAGGGGGAGGCGGAGGAGGAGAUGCAGGGAAGAGAGGAAGAGCAGGUAUUAGAAAAGGAGGUAGACGAAGAGAAAAAUGAUGAAGAAAAGACUCAAAUAGAGGCAGAGGAAGGAGGAAGGCAAGAGUAUACAUUUGAGGAGGAAGGGGAGGAGAAGGAGGCAGAAGUAGGCAGUUUAAAAGAGGAGGAUGAGGAUAAACCCAUAUGGACAGUUGAGGCUGAUCAGGAAGAGACGCAAAGACGGGAUGAAGAAUUGGGAGAAGAAGGAAAGGAGCCCAGGAAAGAGGAUGCAAGCUAUGGAAGGGAAGAGUUAGAGGCUCAGGAGGAAGAAGAGGAGGAGGAAGAGGAGAUCAUGGGGGAUGGAAGCGAUAAGGACAGCCAUGAUGAAGAGGUUGAAGAACAGAGUGAGGUAGGGAUGGAGGACCUAGCAGAGAGAGAAGAGGGAGAAGAAGAAAGAAAUGAAAAAUACAGGAGGAUGGAGAAAAAAGCACAUGAAAGAAAGGUAGAAGAAGAAAAGACAGAGGCCUUAGACCAGGAAGUAAGAAAUGUAGAAGAAGAAAAUAUGGAGGCUCUAGGAAACAAAGAACAUGUAGAAGAAGAAAAGAUGGAGGCCUUAGGAGACAAUUUGGAAAAUGUAGAAGAAGAGGAAAAGAUGGCGGCGUUGGGAAACACUGUAGAAAAUGCAGAAGAAGAAGAAAAGAUGGAGGCCUUUGGAGACAAGGUGGACAAUUUGGAAGUAGAAAAAAAGAUGGAAGAUACAGGAGAUAAUAAGAUGGAGAAAGAAGAAGAGAUGGAGACCUUGGAACACAAAGUAGAACAUGAAGAAGAAGAAGAAGAGGCGGAGGAACCCAACAAUGAGCCAGCACACCAGAUCGAUCCCCCAGAUUCCCAGGAAUCAUCUCCCCCAUCGCCUCCACGAGCCUCUGAAUCUGCAAAAGCGCUGAGUCAUGCCGGUGCAGCGGCAGCAAAGGAACCCCGCCGAGACACCACAGAAGAAGAGCAGAGCUCAGGCGCUGCUAAAACCCUCAACAAUGACCUUCCAACAGCGGCGAGCAGAGACAAGGCGACGGAGGGACGGCAGAAUGCGACGGACACAAAGUCGGCGGACGCCCGUCCGGCCCUGAGGGAGGAGGAGGGAAGGAGUUUGGGAGAGCGUCUUGAAGCAACGCCGCUGACAUCACUUCCUGUCUCUGGACGGCCAGGAGAACCGGCAGGUGACCCCCAGGACACGACAGCUGAGCCACACACAGGUCGCGGAUCGGAGGCGAAGGCGUCGCUGGUGGACGGGGCCAGCGAGGCGCCGAGAGGGAGCAAAGAUCCGAGUCCGGCCGCGAACUCGUCCGCCGCUGGAAACCCAGAAGCGGGAGCACAGGAGGACAAAGAGCGAGGAAGUCCGAACCCUCUCGUCACAAACAGCGAGGCGGACGGCAAGAAGAACGGCAGCCAUCAGUCCUCCAAGUACAAAACCGUGUCCUUCAGGAGGAUCCGGAGAGGAAACACCCGGCAGAGGAUCGAUGAGUUUGAGGCUAUGAUGGACGCGUGA